UACGGAGGAUGCGAGCGUUAUCCGGAUUUAUUGGGUUUAAAGGGUGCGUAGGCGGGUUAUCAAGUCAGCGGUAAAAGCCCGGGGCUCAACCCCGGCGAGCCGUUGAAACUGUCGGACUAGAGACGGCGAGAAGUACGCGGAAUGCGCGGUGUAGCGGUGAAAUGCAUAGAUAUCGCGCAGAACUCCGAUUGCGAAGGCAGCGUACCGGCGCGCAACUGACGCUCAUGCACGAAAGCGUGGGUAUCGAACAGG
This 252-nucleotide ribosomal RNA is filed under the name uncultured Bacteroidales bacterium. RNAcentral's name for it is "partial 16S ribosomal RNA". It matches the Rfam family "Bacterial small subunit ribosomal RNA", at positions 524 to 776 of the family's 1533-position model. Lineage: Bacteria; Pseudomonadati; Bacteroidota; Bacteroidia; Bacteroidales. The record is from RNAcentral.